CCUCGGGGCGUACCGCCGGCCUCGCGCGGCCCCGGCCCCCAGACCCAGGCCCGGAAGGCGAGCGUCCGUUUACCUGCUCCCCGCUCUGGCUGCCGCCGCUGCCGCCGCCGCGCCGCUCACCCACGCUGCCAGGAUUGUUCCUGAGAAGAGCCACGCCUGAUCUUUUCACCACUUCCAGGCAGAGUUCAGUGAAAACGAAUUUAGCCAAAUGCCUGACAGCUGCAGGCCCAUUACCCUAAUAGACUGUGACCUUCUGAGCUGAGAAACAUGGUUCCUUGCCCUCAAGAGGAUCAAGUUUGGAGAAAGAUAUCAACAAUCAAAUAGAGUAAUAACAAGCACUGAAAUCAAGUUUAUUUUUAAAAUAUGGAGGAGGAGCACCUUAUUCAACCUGCAUUAAACAGGAAGUACUUCUCAUAAAAUGUAAAGCUCAAGAUGAAUCUUGAAGGAUCAGUAGGAAUUGGCCAAGCUAAGAAACAAAGUAUGUUCCAGACAAAGGCAUAUGUAUCUCCUUGCCUACAAACUGUGGAGAUGGAGCAAGCAAUACUCUGGGCAAAAAGCCAUGCAAGAGCUGCUACAGCAAAGAUAAAUUGAGUUUAAAUUAAACUUUUUCAAAAAUUUUGGUGCAUCACAGAAUUAACAUAUCAUGAGAAAACUCUGAAGUUUGAAAAAUGGAGUUUAAAAGAACAUGAUGGAAGCCCACUCAGCAUUCUCCUGAGAGUUUGAUCACUCAAGUUGACCAGGAAAAGCCAAGUAUUACAUAUGAACAGUGGAAGACUCUUCCAUUUAUUUUUCUUCAAGUCUUGGAUAUCAAAUAAUUCUAAUGAUAAAGAAAAUUUUAUGUCCUUAUUCCAAACUUUAACCUAGCAUAGGAGGGAAAAAUCAUCGCAACAUCUGAAAGAAUGCCAUUACAUCUGCAUUCUAACCAGAAGAAAAAAGGAAAGGAGGAAGGGAAGGUAAUACCUCUUCUUUUUAAGUGGAGGGCACAUAAGUGGAGUCUGACUCUGCCUGUGCAUUUCUUAUAUUGUCAAUUCAGGAGUACUUGGCAGCAAUGUAAAUUAUAAAUAAAUAAAAGACUAGUCAAUUUUUGCUUUGAUAAUAAUUUUCUAAGUUCAAAAGUAUAGUUAUAAGAAUAUAAAGUUAUAAGGAUAUUAAGGUACAGGGUGUAUCAAACCUGCAGUGUCUAAAUCUGUUUCUGGCAAUAAGCCACAAACCCACUGCUUUUCGGGGGGAAAGGUGAAUUCACUAAAAGCUAAGGCAUUGUUUUGCCUGUUAUUCAUAUUAUAAGAUUUUGUAUGAUUUUAAGAUUGUAAUACCUUUAUCAGAAUCUUUAAGAUGUGUAUCUUUUUUUUUUUUUUUUUUGAGCGAGAGAGGUAUAACAUGCACAGGGUGGGGGGAGAGGGUGAGGGAGAAACAGGCUCCCCACUGAGCAGGGAGCCCAAUGCAGGGCUCAAUCCCAACACCCUGGGAUCAUGACCUGAGCCAAAGGCAGAUGCUUAACUGAGCCACCCAGGUGCCCCAUUAAGAUGUGUAUCUUAAACCCCAACAUAAUUAUAAUAGUUUGCCUAAUUUUUCUACCAAAAGUUACAAUAUAACAAAUUUAAUAAUGCCUUUAGAUAAUAAUACUACCUAAAGAUUAAGCAACAAUAAAAUUAGCUUUUACCUUAACAAAGUUAUUUUUUUUGUAAAAUUCGGUUUAUGAGAUACCCCAAAUCUAGGUUCUUAUGAAAAUACUUGAUAAUCAGGCUCCUGAGUAAAAUAUGGAUUGUAUGAAUCCUGUUACAAGUAUGAGCAAUGUUUUCCAGUAAAAUGUUAUGAAUCCUUGAUGUCUAUGUGAUUAUCUAUUGCAUACGCAACAUGUUCCCCAAGUUUAUAAUAGCAUAAAGACUUAUUGUUAACAAUCUGUAGUGACAUGAAUAUGCUUUACAAUCACUACAUGUAAGUGUAAGAUAGAUAAAUAGUUCCCAAUUAUAUGUAUAUAAAAUAUACAUGCAUUGAGACUACCAGUCACUGUCUCUUUAUAAAAUUUCACUCCCCCAUCAAUCUCAACAAAAUUAUUCUCUGCUGACUGACUCUUCAGACCAUUCUUGUGGUCUUCAUUCCAAUUCAUAGAGUCUUCUUCCUUUACCCUCUCCUUCAAUUAGCUGUCUGCAAGU
Mirounga angustirostris (Northern elephant seal) is the source of this 2153-nucleotide long non-coding RNA. RefSeq lists it as uncharacterized. NCBI's taxonomy places the organism in Eukaryota, Metazoa, Chordata, Mammalia, Carnivora, Phocidae. The record is from RefSeq and is a predicted model, not a curated record. The transcript has 4 exons.